This 496-nucleotide ribosomal RNA is filed under the name uncultured bacterium. Its description in RNAcentral is "partial 16S ribosomal RNA". It matches the Rfam family "Bacterial small subunit ribosomal RNA", at positions 28 to 506 of the family's 1533-position model. The record is from RNAcentral.
GAUGAACGCUGGCGGCGUGCCUAAUACAUGCAAGUCGAGCGAACAGACGAGGAGCUUGCUCCUCUGACGUUAGCGGCGGACGGGUGAGUAACACGUGGAUAACCUACCUAUAAGACUGGGAUAACUUCGGGAAACCGGAGCUAAUACCGGAUAAUAUAUUGAACCGCAUGGUUCAAUAGUGAAAGACGGUUUUGCUGUCACUUAUAGAUGGAUCCGCGCCGCAUUAGCUAGUUGGUAAGGUAACGGCUUACCAAGGCGACGAUGCGUAGCCGACCUGAGAGGGGGAGCGGCCACACUGGAACUGAGACACGGUCCAGACUCCUACGGGAGGCAGCAGUAGGAAAUCUUCCGCAAUGGGCGAAAGCCUGACGGAGCAACGCCGCGUGAGUGAUGAAGGUCUUCGGAUCGUAAAACUCUGUUAUUAGGGAAGAACAAAUGUGUAAGUAACUAUGCACGUCUUGACGGUACCUAAUCAGAAAGCCACGGCUAACUACGU